Molecule: ribosomal RNA, 251 nt
Filed under: uncultured bacterium
Lineage: Bacteria
Description: partial 16S ribosomal RNA
Rfam family: Bacterial small subunit ribosomal RNA
Source: RNAcentral
UACGGGGGAGCAAGCGUUGUUCGGAUUACUGGGCGUAAAGGGCGCGUAGGCGGCCACCGCAAGUCGACUGUGAAAUCUCCGGGCUUAACCCGGAAAGGUCAGCCGAUACUGCGGGCUAGAGUGCAGAAGGGCAACUGGAAUUCGUCGGUGGUAGCGGUGAAAUGCGUAGAUAUCGAGAGGAACACCUGCGGCGAAGGCGGGUUGCUGGCUGACACUGACGCUGGAGGCGCGAAAGCUAGGGAGCGAACGGG